This 21-nucleotide non-coding RNA is filed under the name Caenorhabditis elegans. The record is from RNAcentral. Lineage: Eukaryota; Metazoa; Nematoda; Chromadorea; Rhabditida; Rhabditidae.
UAUAUGUACUACAUCCACCGG